Molecule: ribosomal RNA, 492 nt
Filed under: uncultured bacterium
Lineage: Bacteria
Description: partial 16S ribosomal RNA
Rfam family: Bacterial small subunit ribosomal RNA
Source: RNAcentral
AGUGAACGCUGGCGGUAGGCCUAACACAUGCAAGUCGAACGGCAGCACAGUAAGAGCUUGCUCUUACGGGUGGCGAGUGGCGGGCGGGUGAGGCAUACAUCGGAAUCUACUUUUUCGUGGGGGAUAACGUAGGGAAACUUACGCUACUACCGCAUACGACCUACGGGUGAAAGCAGUGGAUCUUCGGACCUUGCGCGUUUGUAUGAGCCGAUGUCGGAUUAGCUAGUUGGCGGGGUAAAGGCCCACCAAGGCGACGAUCCGUAGCUGGUCUGAGAGGAUGAUCAGCCACACUGGAACUGAGACACGGUCCAGACUCCUACGGGAGGCAGCAGUGGGGAAUAUUGGACAAUGGGCGCAAGCCUGAUCCAGCCAUACCGCGUGGGUGAAGAAGGCCUUCGGGUUGUAAAGCCCUGUUGUUGGGAAAGAAAAGCAGCAGGUUAAUACCCCGCUGUUCUGACGGUACCCAAAGAAUAAGCACCGGCUAACUUCGUG